Molecule: transfer RNA, 76 nt
Filed under: Corynebacterium sp. HMSC074C04
Lineage: Bacteria; Bacillati; Actinomycetota; Actinomycetes; Mycobacteriales; Corynebacteriaceae
Description: tRNA-Glu
Rfam family: tRNA
About the family: Transfer RNA (tRNA) molecules are approximately 80 nucleotides in length. Their secondary structure includes four short double-helical elements and three loops (D, anti-codon, and T loops). Further hydrogen bonds mediate the characteristic L-shaped molecular structure. tRNAs have two regions of fundamental functional importance: the anti-codon, which is responsible for specific mRNA codon recognition, and the 3' end, to which the tRNAs corresponding amino acid is attached (by aminoacyl-tRNA synthetases). tRNAs cope with the degeneracy of the genetic code in two manners: having more than one tRNA (with a specific anti-codon) for a particular amino acid; and 'wobble' base-pairing, i.e. permitting non-standard base-pairing at the 3rd anti-codon position.
Source: RNAcentral
GCCCCGUUCGUCUAGCGGCCUAGGACGCCGCCCUCUCACGGCGGUAACACGGGUUCAAACCCCGUACGGGGUACAA